AGAGUUUGAUCCUGGCUCAGGAUGAACGCUGGCGGCGUGCCUAAUACAUGCAGGUCGAGCGAACCACUUCGGUGGUGAGCGGCGAACGGGUGAGUAACACGUAGGUGAUCUGCCCAUCAGACGGGGACAACGAUUGGAAACGAUCGCUAAUACCGGAUAGGACGAAAGUUUAAAGGUGCUUCUGGCACCGCUGAUGGAUGAGCCUGCGGCGCAUUAGCUAGUUGGUAGGGUAAAGGCCUACCAAGGCGACGAUGCGUAGCCGACCUGAGAGGGUGAACGGCCACACUGGGACUGAGACACGGCCCAGACUCCUACGGGAGGCAGCAGUAGGGAAUCUUCGGCAAUGGGCGAAAGCCUGACCGAGCAACGCCGCGUGAAUGAUGAAGGCCUUCGGGUUGUAAAAUUCUGUUAUAAGGGAAGAACGACUUUAGUAGGAAAUGGCUGGAGUGUGGCGGUACCUUAUGAGAAAGCCACGGCUAACUACGUGCCAGCAGCCGCGGUAAUACGUAGGUGGCGAGCGUUAUCCGGAAUUAUUGGGCGUAAAGAGCGCGCAGGUGGUUGAUUAAGUCUGAUGUGAAAGCCCACGGCUUAACCGUGGAGGGUCAUUGGAAACUGGUCGACUUGAGUGCAGAAGAGGGAAGUGGAAUUCCAUGUGUAGCGGUGAAAUGCGUAGAGAUAUGGAGGAACACCAGUGGCGAAGGCGGCUUCCUGGUCUGUAACUGACACUGAGGCGCGAAAGCGUGGGGAGCAAACAGGAUUAGAUACCCUGGUAGUCCACGCCGUAAACGAUGAGUGCUAAGUGUUGGGGGUCGAACCUCAGUGCUGAAGUUAACGCAUUAAGCACUCCGCCUGGGGAGUACGGUCGCAAGACUGAAACUCAAAGGAAUUGACGG
This 893-nucleotide ribosomal RNA is filed under the name uncultured bacterium. RNAcentral's name for it is "bacterial SSU rRNA". It matches the Rfam family "Bacterial small subunit ribosomal RNA", at positions 8 to 916 of the family's 1533-position model. The record is from RNAcentral.